RNAcentral lists this ribosomal RNA (531 nucleotides) under uncultured bacterium. RNAcentral describes it as "bacterial SSU rRNA". It matches the Rfam family "Bacterial small subunit ribosomal RNA", at positions 777 to 1307 of the family's 1533-position model. The record is from RNAcentral.
AAUAGAUACCCGGGUAGUCCACGCCGUAAACGUUGGGCGCUAGGUGUGGGGGCCAUUCCACGGUCUCCGUGCCGCAGCUAACGCAUUAAGCGCCCCGCCUGGGGAGUACGGCCGCAAGGCUAAAACUCAAAGGAAUUGACGGGGGCCCGCACAAGCGGCGGAGCAUGUUGCUUAAUUCGAUGCAACGCGAAGAACCCUACCUAGGCUUGACAUGCACGGAAAUCUCGCAGAGAUGCGGGGUGCCUUUGGCGUCGUGCACAGGUGGUGCAUGGUUGUCGUCAGCUCGUGUCGUGAGAUGUUGGGUUAAGUCCCGCAACGAGCGCAACCCUCGUUCCAUGUUGCCAGCACGUAGUGGUGGGGACUCAUGGGAGACUGCCGGGGUCAACUCGGAGGAAGGUGGGGAUGACGUCAAAUCAUCAUGCCCCUUAUGUCUAGGGCUGCAAACAUGCUACAAUGGCCGGUACAAAGGGCUGCGAUACCGCGAGGUGGAGCGAAUCCCAAAAAGCCGGUCUCAGUUCGGACUGGGGUCUG